RNAcentral lists this long non-coding RNA (178 nucleotides) under Calidris pugnax (ruff). RNAcentral describes it as "lncRNA (ENSCPUG00000002621.1)". Lineage: Eukaryota; Metazoa; Chordata; Aves; Charadriiformes; Scolopacidae. The record is from RNAcentral.
AACUAAUAGAAGAGCUGGUUGUACAAGUAGUUCAGGAUCUGGUCACAAAUAUGCACUAAGCUGCUCGUCCUCCUGGGGUGAAAUUCACCUUGGACAGAGACAAGAAUUGCACCUUGUUAGCUCAAAAAAAAGAUUAUAUAACAGCUCUCAAGAGGAAGCUGCUAACAAGCCCAUCUGA